RNAcentral lists this ribosomal RNA (495 nucleotides) under uncultured bacterium. RNAcentral's name for it is "partial 16S ribosomal RNA". It matches the Rfam family "Bacterial small subunit ribosomal RNA", at positions 28 to 507 of the family's 1533-position model. The record is from RNAcentral.
GACGAACGCUGGCGGCGUGCCUAAUACAUGCAAGUAGAACGCUGAAGGAGGAGCUUGCUUCUCUGGAUGAGUUGCGAACGGGUGAGUAACGCGUAGGUAACCUGCCUGGUAGCGGGGGAUAACUAUUGGAAACGAUAGCUAAUACCGCAUAAGAUUGACUAUUGCAUGAUAGUCAGUUAAAAGGUGCAAUUGCAUCACUACCAGAUGGACCUGCGUUGUAUUAGCUAGUUGGUGGGGUAACGGCUCACCAAGGCGACGAUACAUAGCCGACCUGAGAGGGUGAUCGGCCACACUGGGACUGAGACACGGCCCAGACUCCUACGGGAGGCAGCAGUAGGGAAUCUUCGGCAAUGGACGGAAGUCUGACCGAGCAACGCCGCGUGAGUGAAGAAGGUUGUCGGAUCGUAAAGCUCUGUUGUAAGAGAAGAACGAGUGUGAGAGUGGAAAGUUCACACUGUGACGGUAGCUUACCAGAAAGGGACGGCUAACUACGUG